Molecule: ribosomal RNA, 458 nt
Filed under: uncultured bacterium
Lineage: Bacteria
Description: partial 16S ribosomal RNA
Rfam family: Bacterial small subunit ribosomal RNA
Source: RNAcentral
CCUACGGGAGGCAGCAGUGGGGAAUAUUGCACAAUGGGGGAAACCCUGAUGCAGCGACGCCGCGUGAGUGAUGACGUAUCUCGGUAUGUAAAGCUCUAUCAGCAGGGAAGUAAUAGCGACCUCUUGUUCGCUAGACUGUAUCCGAUUAAGAAGCCCCGGCUAACUACGUGCCAGCAGCCGCGGUAAUACGUAGGGGGCAAGCGUUAUCCGGAUUUACUGGGUGUAAAGGGAGCGUAUACGGCAGCGCAAGUCUGAAGUGAAAUGCCGGGGCUUAACCCCGGAACUGCAUUGGAGACUGUGCAGCUAGAGUGCAGGAGAGGUAAGUGGAAUUCCUAGUGUAGCGGUGAAAUGCGUAGAUAUUAGGAGGAACACCGAUGGCGAAGGCAGCUUACUGGACUGUAACUGACGUUGAGGCUCGAAAGCGUGGGGAGCAAACAGGAUUAGAUACCCGAGUAGUC